This 1372-nucleotide ribosomal RNA is filed under the name uncultured bacterium. RNAcentral describes it as "bacterial SSU rRNA". It matches the Rfam family "Bacterial small subunit ribosomal RNA", at positions 28 to 1381 of the family's 1533-position model. The record is from RNAcentral.
GAUGAACGCUGGCGGCGUGCCUAAUACAUGCAAGUCGAGCGAACGGACGAGAAGCUUGCUUCUCUGAUGUUAGCGGCGGACGGGUGAGUAACACGCGGAUAACCUACCUAUAAGACUGGGAUAACUUCGGGAAACCGGAGCUAAUACCGGAUAAUAUUUUGAACCGCAUGGUUCAAAAGUGAAAGACGGUCUUGCUGUCACUUAUAGAUGGAUCCGCGCUGCAUUAGCUAGUUGGUAAGGUAACGGCUUACCAAGGCAACGAUGCAUAGCCGACCUGAGAGGGUGAUCGGCCACACUGGAACUGAGACACGGUCCAGACUCCUACGGGAGGCAGCAGUAGGGAAUCUUCCGCAAUGGGCGAAAGCCUGACGGAGCAACGCCGCGUGAGUGAUGAAGGUCUUCGGAUCGUAAAACUCUGUUAUUAGGGAAGAACAUAUGUGUAAGUAACUGUGCACAUCUUGACGGUACCUAAUCAGAAAGCCACGGCUAACUACGUGCCAGCAGCCGCGGUAAUACGUAGGUGGCAAGCGUUAUCCGGAAUUAUUGGGCGUAAAGCGCGCGUAGGCGGUUUUUUAAGUCUGAUGUGAAAGCCCACGGCUCAACCGUGGAGGGUCAUUGGAAACUGGAAAACUUGAGUGCAGAAGAGGAAAGUGGAAUUCCAUGUGUAGCGGUGAAAUGCGCAGAGAUAUGGAGGAACACCAGUGGCGAAGGCGACUUUCUGGUCUGUAACUGACGCUGAUGUGCGAAAGCGUGGGGAUCAAACAGGAUUAGAUACCCUGGUAGUCCACGCCGUAAACGAUGAGUGCUAAGUGUUAGGGGGUUUCCGCCCCUUAGUGCUGCAGCUAACGCAUUAAGCACUCCGCCUGGGGAGUACGACCGCAAGGUUGAAACUCAAAGGAAUUGACGGGGACCCGCACAAGCGGUGGAGCAUGUGGUUUAAUUCGAAGCAACGCGAAGAACCUUACCAAAUCUUGACAUCCUUUGACAACUCUAGAGAUAGAGCUUUCCCCUUCGGGGGACAAAGUGACAGGUGGUGCAUGGUUGUCGUCAGCUCGUGUCGUGAGAUGUUGGGUUAAGUCCCGCAACGAGCGCAACCCUUAAGCUUAGUUGCCAUCAUUAAGUUGGGCACUCUAAGUUGACUGCCGGUGACAAACCGGAGGAAGGUGGGGAUGACGUCAAAUCAUCAUGCCCCUUAUGAUUUGGGCUACACACGUGCUACAAUGGACAAUACAAAGGGCAGCGAAACCGCGAGGUCAAGCAAAUCCCAUAAAGUUGUUCUCAGUUCGGAUUGUAGUCUGCAACUCGACUACAUGAAGCUGGAAUCGCUAGUAAUCGUAGAUCAGCAUGCUACGGUGAAUACGUUCCCGGGUCU